GAGGGCAUGUGAAGGAGCGGGGGAGGGGGAGAGUAGAGUGGUCUGUUUCUUUUACUAAUCCCCUGAAACCGGAACCUUUAUUGCUUCUGAAGGACAUUAUAAGGCUGAAGUCCUCCCGCCUUGUGCUCAGAUCGCUACUCCCGGGCACCACUGACCAAGCCUCCGACACGCCCGCAACUUGCUCCCACACUUGUGCUUCCUGCUGGGAAUGUGGUGGAGGAGGGCGAGCAGCGUUGUGGCCCUCUGACAUUUGCCUGGAAAAGAGAGGAUGCGCUCAACUGUCUUGUUUGGCGUCUGCAUCAUCCAGCACUGUUUUGAUUUGAGGGAACACAGCCUCCUCUUCUGGACAAAAGUGAAAGUAGCAAUGCCUGUGAUGAGGCUCUCAUAACACAAAUGCGCUGUGACUUCUCCUCUUGUUUCAGGCAAAAGAUCCAACGAAUGUUUCGCCAUUUAUGAAAACAAGG
This is a long non-coding RNA of Dunckerocampus dactyliophorus (ringed pipefish), 464 nucleotides long. RefSeq lists it as uncharacterized. Lineage: Eukaryota; Metazoa; Chordata; Actinopteri; Syngnathiformes; Syngnathidae. The record is from RefSeq and is a predicted model, not a curated record. The transcript is spliced from 4 exons.